Paramuricea clavata is the source of this 371-nucleotide non-coding RNA. NCBI's taxonomy places the organism in Eukaryota, Metazoa, Cnidaria, Anthozoa, Malacalcyonacea, Plexauridae. The record is from the annotation of a GenBank genome assembly.
AAUUAUAAUACUUGACAACUUUAUUUUGAUUAUUAAUUCAAAUGAAGAUUAGUUUGUUGUUUUAUCGAAAGUGACCGGUCAAAAUGACCGACAAGGUAAGAAGUUGACCUGCGGACAACUUCGCAUUCUGGCCGGACAUUAUCCGUUGACCGUCCGUUAUUUCGCGCCCUGGACUAUACGUGCAAUAUAGUUACUGACGCUGUUAUCCAAGCUUCCAACCCGAACAUUUCUGUUAUUAUGACACUGCAAAAAUCCCUGAAUAUUUUGACCCGAAAACCCACUUAGUGACUCAAAAUUUUGAGCGGUAAAAUGACUCAAAUGUAUGAGCGAAUUUGUGCUCAAUUUUUUUUUACCAAAGUCUAAAGUUUACG